GCGGAUGUGGCGGAAUUGGUAGACGCGCAAGCUUGAGGGGCUUGUGGCUGCAAAGCCGUGGAGGUUCAAGUCCUCUCGUCCGCA
Molecule: transfer RNA, 84 nt
Filed under: Patescibacteria group bacterium
Lineage: Bacteria
Also listed under: 2 other names
Description: tRNA-Leu
Rfam family: tRNA
About the family: Transfer RNA (tRNA) molecules are approximately 80 nucleotides in length. Their secondary structure includes four short double-helical elements and three loops (D, anti-codon, and T loops).
Source: RNAcentral